This 253-nucleotide ribosomal RNA is filed under the name uncultured bacterium. RNAcentral describes it as "partial 16S ribosomal RNA". It matches the Rfam family "Bacterial small subunit ribosomal RNA", at positions 524 to 776 of the family's 1533-position model. The record is from RNAcentral.
GACAGAGGUGCCAAGCGUUAGGCGGAAUCACUGGGCUUAAAGCGUGUGUAGGCGGACUGGUAAGUACCUUGUGAAAUCCCACGGCUCAACCGUGGAACUGCUGGGUAUACUGCUUUUCUUGAGCCACUUAGGGGCUGUCGGAACAAACGGUGGAGCGGUGAAAUGCGUAGAUAUCAGGAGGAACACCAAUGGCGAAGGCAGCUCGCUGGAACGGUACUGACGCUGAGGCGCGAAAGCGUGGGGAGCAAACAGG